ACGGAAGUAAUCAACAUAGAAUUAAUAAUGCGAUAAAUUCUUUUGAUUCGAUGUGGUUUUAUCUUUUACGAAAGAUUGAUCCAAUAUUUGGUGAAUCGUACAUGUCAUACUUUCUAAGAAUGAUAGUACAAGAUAAAAUUCCAUUGCCUAAGGAAUUAAUACCUAAGUUUUAUGGUAAUGGAAAAUUGGAAU
Long non-coding RNA from Rhopalosiphum padi (bird cherry-oat aphid), 192 nucleotides. RefSeq lists it as uncharacterized. The transcript has 5 exons. NCBI's taxonomy places the organism in Eukaryota, Metazoa, Arthropoda, Insecta, Hemiptera, Aphididae. The record is from RefSeq and is a predicted model, not a curated record.